This 915-nucleotide ribosomal RNA is filed under the name Trichophyton sp. DV-2018d. RNAcentral describes it as "LSU rRNA". It matches the Rfam family "Eukaryotic large subunit ribosomal RNA", at positions 34 to 966 of the family's 3401-position model. The record is from RNAcentral. Lineage: Eukaryota; Fungi; Ascomycota; Eurotiomycetes; Onygenales; Arthrodermataceae.
CUAAGCAUAUCAAUAAGCGGAGGAAAAGAAACCAACAGGGAUUGCCCCAGUAACGGCGAGUGAAGCGGCAAGAGCUCAAAUUUGAAAUCUGGCCUCCUCCGGGGGUCCGAGUUGUAAUUUGCAGAGGAUGCUUCGGGUGCGGCCCCCGUCUAAGUUCCUUGGAACAGGACGUCAGAGAGGGUGAGAAUCCCGUCUUGGGCGGGCGGCCCGCGCCCGUGUGAAGCUCCUUCGACGAGUCGAGUUGUUUGGGAAUGCAGCUCUAAGCGGGUGGUAAAUUUCAUCUAAAGCUAAAUAUUGGCCGGAGACCGAUAGCGCACAAGUAGAGUGAUCGAAAGGUUAAAAGCACCUUGAAAAGGGAGUUAAACAGCACGUGAAAUUGUUGAAAGGGAAGCGCUUGCGGCCAGACUCGGGGGCGGGGUUCAGCGGGCGCUCGUCGCCCGUGCACUCCCCGCGCCCCGGGCCAGCAUCAGUUUCGACGGUCGGUCAAAGGCCCCCGGAAUGUGUCGUCUCUAGGGACGUCUUAUAGCCGGGGGUGCAAUGCGGCCCGUCGGGACUGAGGAACGCGCUUCGGCUCGGAUGCUGGCGUAAUGGCCGUAAGCGGCCCGUCUUGAAACACGGACCAAGGAGUCUAACAUCCACGCGAGUGUUCGGGUGUCAAACCCGUGCGCGCAGUGAAAGCGAACGGAGGUGGGAGCCUUUGGGCGCACCAUCGACCGAUCCUGAAGUCUUCGGAUGGAUUUGAGUAGGAGCGUGGCCGUUGGGACCCGAAAGAUGGUGAACUAUGCCUGAAUAGGGUGAAGCCAGAGGAAACUCUGGUGGAGGCUCGCAGCGGUUCUGACGUGCAAAUCGAUCGUCAAAUUUGGGCAUAGGGGCGAAAGACUAAUCGAACCAUCUAGUAGCUGGUUCCUGCCAAUU